Long non-coding RNA from Myiozetetes cayanensis, 3636 nucleotides. RefSeq lists it as uncharacterized. The transcript has 7 exons. The record is from RefSeq and is a predicted model, not a curated record. NCBI's taxonomy places the organism in Eukaryota, Metazoa, Chordata, Aves, Passeriformes, Tyrannidae.
GGCUGGUUAACCACUCAUUCUGUAAGGAAUGCUGCUCACGUGAGGAUCCCCUUGGGUGCUGCUUUCAGCCUGGGAUUGCUCUGGCAUGACCACUUUGUGGACGAAAAGGGUUGCAAUGACCCACCCCGGGGUGGAGGCAGAAGAGGGGCUCUGAGUGACCUCCCAUGUGGGCACAGGGUGGUUGUGUUUGUGAUUUGCCCAGGAAUAGAACUGCUGGGAAAUACAGCCAGAGAAUUGCAUAACUCACCAUUCCUAAUGCAGAUACAAGAGUCUCACAGUUGCAGCCUCUCCCCAGAUGUGAUAGCUCUUGACUGGCGUCCCAAAAACCCCUGUUCUGCCAGUGAUGUGCAUCUGGUUGUGAUGGGGAGGACAACUGCAGCUCCUCUUGGAAUGUUGGCUAAAUCCCAACACAGCUGAUGCUGAUUCAAGUCACCUUCAACAUUUUCACAGUCCAUAGCUGUGUCCAAAAACCCCCAGCUGCUUCUGCAGCUUCCUUUGAAGAGGACUGUGUCAGAGCAAGUCUCCAGAAAACAGCAGGAAGACUAAGGCAGCCUGGCUGCCAGGAACAUGGAGCUGGUCACUUCGGCUCUACCGACCCUGAGGAGAGCCCUGGAACUGCCAUAGACACGUAGUGCCUCUGGCUGCCGGAUAGGAACUGGAAAAGCAUGAAGCAGCUCUGCAGAAAUGGAUGUGACUGUGUCUGCAGGACAACAAAGCCUCCAGCCAUAGGUUUAUGUAAGUUAAUGACGAAUGCUGCUUAAAGAGAUGGACCCGUCAUGUUUCCUAAGAUUGUUUACAUUGCUGGUCUGUGAAAGUCUUGAUUGAAACUGCUCUCAAUUUUUUAUCUGUCAGCAUCAUUGGAAAAGAGUCUGGAUAAAGCCCGAGUGCAGGCAUCUAUACACACUGGAAAAUAAACUGCAGAAAAAGAUGGAUGCUUUGAUGUCUGAAUCCUGCCUUUUCAUUUGUGACUGAAGACAGAAUUUCAGUUUGGUUUCUUUGGAAAUGGACACUAUCAAAGGACUCCCAUCAUGUUGGUGUCUACCAUGUACUUCUCAUCACCUUGCAACUGGAGCGAAUUGGAGUGAAUUAUUCAUGUUAGGUGGAUCUAUUUAAGCAAAGAUCAAAGCCUACUGGUUUUCUUUCACCAAAUCUUGUUUAAGAUAGUCUAACCAAUCCAUUAUGUACAAACUUCUGAAUAUUAUAUGCAUACUUACAUACUGCAUUUAUGGGCUUUUCUAUAAGCAAGCUGCUUUAUCAGAAGUUGACUAUAUGGUGUGGUAGUUGCUUUUGCUUUUAGCUCAGUAAAAUAAAUUCCUUCUCUCCAGAGCUUUUUCAAAGUAGAAAACCAAGAUAUUUUUUAUUUUGUGAUAGAUCUUUUCUUUGAAGGAGAAACAGAUUUCUUUUAGAAGCAUUUUGUGAAAAUGCCCAACUCAGACCCCCUUCUGGCAGCUGGGGCAGGCAAAGCCCAGGUUAAGUUCCAAGGGUUUUACUAAACAGUGCUCUUUUUGUUUCAUUUCUGUUUGCUUAGAUGUUCUUCUACUAAUGGAUGUAUGCAAUUUCCAAUUAAUUAUUAUCUGGAGCCAUCUCCAAAGGCAAUGCACUCUUUGUGUGGAUGUGUAUGAAAGAGAAAUUUGCCAACUCACUGCUGUCAAAAUAAUAUAGGAGGUUGUGAAAUGACUUGGUGGAAAAUCCAACAGAAGAAAUAUUUAAAACUUUAAGUAAGUAAAAUCCUGAUUUUUCAAAAGAGCUGAUCUCUCAUGUAAAGCUGCCAUAUUUGUCAAAAAGUGAUCUCCUGAUACCAAGUACUUGAAAAUCAAGCUUUUGAGCAAUUAGAGUUCAGUGCAAACAAUCAGGUGAAAUGUGUCUAGAAGAAUAAAUUUUUUCAUAAAUAAAUAUUUUGUUAUUCUUUUAAGUAAAGCAAUACAGUAACAUGAUGUAGUUUGCAGAAAGCAAACUACUGAACUAGCAAUUCUAAGCUAUUCCAUUAGUAUUGCUUUACAUUAUAUUAAUUACUGAAAUAUCCUAGCAUCUUACACAUUUGAUCAUGCAAUUAUACCAAAAAAUAUAAACUGGAAAAUUAUAUGUAAAAUCUAUAUGAAGGAAAACUUUAUACUUUCGCUUAAUGUGAUUUUAUAUUCCUUCCCCUCCCCGCCCUCAUUUCUGUACCUAGAAAUUUUACUUAAAAUAACAUGGAAAAAAAUCAUUUUUACUUGAUUCUUUUUCUAAGGGCUACACAUUAUUAAUGUCUUAUGAAACUUUCAUUGUAUUUUUUCAAUACAAGAGCUAACAGCUCAUCAUAGUCUAUGCUGUCAAUGGAUGUCUUGUUUAUCUGUGAAUCUUUUAGCAAGAGGGGUUUGCUCAGUCACUAUAUCUGAUAAACAGAUGAAUAAAUCAAUGGUUGUCACUUUGAUACUUGUUCACAUGUAUUUAUUAAAAGAAACUGAUUUAACUUUUAAUAUUUUUCUGAUGAUCUAUAAGAAAGCAAAUAAUUAUUUUCAGUCUCCUCAGAGACACCUGGUAAAAAGUAGCCUCAUCUUCAUAAGGGAUCUGGAGCAUUACUAGUCCUCUCGCCUUGAGAACUAUUGAUUAUUACAUUGUAGAAAAAUAUAUACUAAGAUUUAGAGUCCCAAAGGCACUUAGGCCCAUAAAUCCCAUUGAUUUCAAUUGGAAUUAAAUUUCUCCAUGAGUUCAGAGUAUUAGGUUUUAUUGGAGAUUUUUUUUAAUAUAAUUUCACUCAUCAAAUUAUCUUUGAUUAGAAGACAAUGAAGAAGUAACAGCACAAGCCUUUGAGUCUCCUUCAGAUGAGUUAAUUCUGUAGGCAGCAUUAGUGCUGUGGAAAUAUAGUAGGAGAGGUGUGGUUUUGGUCUUAAUCUCUCAUUUGGGUAUGGUGAGAGCUUCAGAAGUUUCACCGUUAUUACAAGUAUUUUUGGAAUGUGCUGCUGCAUUUUCCUAUGGCACACACUCUUCCUGUGUCCUUCCUCAACAGGUUUCCAAGCAGUCCAUGGAGGUUAAUAUAAUAAAAGGUUAGCACUGUGGAUCUGAUCUUUGUUUAGAUAUGAAAACAGGUGUGCUGUUUGGCUGGGGUUGCACUUGUGCAGUUUAUUGUACUUAAACAACAGAGAGCAUUGAUGCUGCUAAUUAGACUCAGUUUAAACUUUGUGAUUGAGUGAUACUUAGCUUUACUAACUUUCUUUUCCUUGGGAAUGCAUUAGUUAUUUCAGACUGCAAAAGUAUCAACUCAUAGAGAAAUUAGAGUUGGAGAACUUUGAUAAUUCAUUGGAUUGUUGAGAUUAAUACAGAAGAGCUGUGGUUCCCUGAAUAUAAUUUGAUUUUUAUUAACAUGCUAGAACGUAAAAUAGAUAACAGUGUGCAGUGAGAAAAUCUAGCUACUCCACUCCAUGAAAAAUCUGUUUGUUGAAAACUAAUUUAUCCAUCUGGUUAGUCUGAUAUCUGUAAUCUCUAUUUAGUUGUAACUGGCCACACAGCACAGAAUGUCCAGGGCAUAGGCCUCACAUUGUCUCAGUGAUAUGAACUUCGUCUGUUCCAAAUAUUAUGCAUAAAUAUUACAACUCUGCAGACUGACCACCUUAAUGACACUCUUGUGCCCUUAGAACAAGCAUCUUACUGAAUGGAAGA